CCUGAUCUGGAGCCGAGCUCUGCCAGCGGAUCAGCGGCACGAAUCACCUACUGGCAGAGGCGGGGGAACCAUCAGCGGCCGCUAUGUGCGGUCUUGGGGUGAAGUCCGUCAGUGCGCAAGUCCUCUCCGACGAAGGAAUCCUUGGGAUACCUCUGUGCUGGAACGGCUUGCGGGCCGCGGGCCGGGUCUGAAACUCUCUGACCCGAAUCCGACAGCUAACUCCGCAGGCUAUCCAGAGAGGAACA
RNAcentral lists this small RNA (245 nucleotides) under Arthrobacter sp. RNAcentral's name for it is "c-di-AMP sequence". It matches the Rfam family "c-di-AMP riboswitch aptamer (ydaO/yuaA leader)". Rfam says of the family: This family represents a conserved RNA structure found upstream of the ydaO and yuaA genes in Bacillus subtilis and related genes in other bacteria. The ydaO/yuaA element is thought to act as a genetic "off" switch for the ydaO and yuaA genes in its native state. Lineage: Bacteria; Bacillati; Actinomycetota; Actinomycetes; Micrococcales; Micrococcaceae. The record is from RNAcentral.